CUGCAGCCCGAGUAGUGAUCGUUAUUAUUGGGCCUAAAACGUCCGUAGCCUGUUUGGUAAAUGCUUGGGUAAAUCGUGUGGCUUAACCAUACGAAUACCGGGUAGACUGCCAGACUUGAGACCGGGAGGGGUUGGAGGUACUCCUGGGGUAGAGGUGAAAUUCUGUAAUCCUGGGGGGACCACCAGUGGCGAAGGCGUCCAACCAGAACGGGUCUGACGGUGAGGGACGAAGCCCUGGGGCGCAAACCGGAUUAGAUACCCGAGUAGUCC
This 270-nucleotide ribosomal RNA is filed under the name uncultured archaeon. Its description in RNAcentral is "partial 16S ribosomal RNA". It matches the Rfam family "Archaeal small subunit ribosomal RNA", at positions 477 to 747 of the family's 1478-position model. The record is from RNAcentral.